This 72-nucleotide transfer RNA is filed under the name Planctomycetota bacterium. Its description in RNAcentral is "Planctomycetes bacterium tRNA-Thr". It matches the Rfam family "tRNA". Rfam says of the family: Transfer RNA (tRNA) molecules are approximately 80 nucleotides in length. Their secondary structure includes four short double-helical elements and three loops (D, anti-codon, and T loops). The record is from RNAcentral. Lineage: Bacteria; Pseudomonadati; Planctomycetota.
GCACUGGUCGUUCAGCGGCGAGGACUCCGCAUUCGUAAUGCGGCGACGUGGGUUCGAGUCCCACCCGGUGCU